This 396-nucleotide ribosomal RNA is filed under the name uncultured bacterium. Its description in RNAcentral is "partial 16S ribosomal RNA". It matches the Rfam family "Bacterial small subunit ribosomal RNA", at positions 523 to 918 of the family's 1533-position model. The record is from RNAcentral.
AUACGGAGGAUGCGAGCGUUAUCCGGAUUUAUUGGGUUUAAAGGGUGCGCAGGCGGCGAGUCAAGUCAGCGGUCAAACUGCGGCGCUCAACGCCGUACCGCCGUUGAAACUGGCGCGCUCGAGUUUGUGCGAGGAUGGCGGAAUGCGCAGUGUAGCGGUGAAAUGCAUAGAUAUUGCGCAGAACUCCGAUUGCGAAGGCAGCUGUCCAGCACACUACUGACGCUCAUGCACGAAAGCGUGGGUAUCGAACAGGAUUAGAUACCCUGGUAGUCCACGCGGUAAACGAUGAUAACUAGUUAUCCGGCCAGAUUGAUGGUUGGGUGACCGAGCGAAAGCGUUAAGUUAUCCACCUGGGGAGUACGCCGGCAACGGUGAAACUCAAAUGAAUUGACGGGG